Long non-coding RNA from Neofelis nebulosa (Clouded leopard), 678 nucleotides. RefSeq lists it as uncharacterized. The record is from RefSeq and is a predicted model, not a curated record. NCBI's taxonomy places the organism in Eukaryota, Metazoa, Chordata, Mammalia, Carnivora, Felidae. The transcript has 2 exons.
CUAUAAUAAUUUACAGGGAACUUAUGAGAAAUAGAUGAGAAAAAUAUAUGAAGAGCACCUAGCAGAAUAUCAGAUUCAUUGUGAGUGCUCACCUUUACAGCCUCUUUCUCCUUUUUUACCCAACAAAAACCAUGCUGCAGAAACUGUGAAGAUCUGUGAUUAAGGUAUUUUAGAACACGACUUUAGAAGCCAAUCUGAAAUCAUGGACAUUACUAAUGGAAGAUAAAUGUUCUAAUUGGUUAUAUGCAAGCAGGAAAAAUGGAGGACAUUUACUGGAUUGCCUGGACUUUCUCAAAUAACUAAACAAACUUAUUGAAGGCUUGUUUAGAAGUGAUUCAAAUAAUUCAAACUUUGAAAUGAUGUCACGUUCUAAAGACGGUCCCAGGGUUCAGUAUGCCCUGCCAUCAGCACACCCUCAUCUGACUGCUGUGGGAGCAGCUGCAUUAUCUGCAUUUGGCCAAGUAAGCAAACUCUGCACCGUGUCACAGUGUUUGUUGUUUGCUAAUGGGCUAGUGGUUAAAAACCGCUUAAAAACUCUAAUUACACAUUUUCAGAUAAUGCAGAGGUGGCAUAUGGUUGGCUUCAUUACUUGAAGAUAUACACAUACAGACUUUACUUGUAUACUUUGUCUGGUGCAUAGUAGCUAUUCAAUAAAUGCUUUAUAAAUGCCUGAAAAUG